This 420-nucleotide ribosomal RNA is filed under the name bacterium A5M_1. RNAcentral's name for it is "bacterial SSU rRNA". It matches the Rfam family "Bacterial small subunit ribosomal RNA", at positions 337 to 773 of the family's 1533-position model. The record is from RNAcentral.
UCCUACGGGAGGCAUCAGUGGGGAAUCUUGAACAAUGGGCGCAAGCUUGAUCCAGCCAUUCCGAGUGGAUGAUGAAGGCCCUAGGGUUGUAAAAUCCUUUCGGAAGGGAAGAUAAUGACGGGACCUGGUAAAGAAGCCCCGGUUAACUCCGUGCCACCAGCCACGGUAAUACGGAGGGGGCUAGCGUUAUUCGGAAUUACUGAGCGUAAAGCGCGCGUACGCAGAUCUCUCAGUCAAAGGUGAAAUCCUCAACCUCAAAUUCGGAACUGCCUUUGAUACUGUCGAUCUGAAGACCGGGAGAGGUGCAUGGAAUUCCAAGUGGAGAUUCUAAAUUCUUAGAAAUCCCAGGAAACCCAAGGGGCCACGCCGAUUCACUGGACACGUUCAGACACUUCACGUUGGAAAGCCAGCGAAAUAAAC